RNAcentral lists this small RNA (147 nucleotides) under Arabidopsis thaliana (thale cress). RNAcentral's name for it is "ATSL070900". The record is from RNAcentral. Lineage: Eukaryota; Viridiplantae; Streptophyta; Magnoliopsida; Brassicales; Brassicaceae.
UUUUUCUUAACAUCUUAUUACUCUACUUUUUUUUUUUUUUUUUCCGUCUACUUCUCCUUCUUAAUUAUUUUGUUGUUAUCGUCAUGUCUGUUUUUUUUGUUAAAAGAGGCUUUAUUGGUUCAUAAUUUACACGAAAUUUUGAUGACU